CAAGAGAGUCUGGGAUGUGACCAGCUUUAUAUGUUUUAUGCUAAAAACUUUUACAGAAAUGAACAUUUUUUGAGGGCUGGAGCUGAGAUUUACCAUCUUCAGUUGCCUAGACAUUGCUUUUGUUUGUAAGUCCCCCUUAAAUAUUUUCUUUCUGAGAAACUGGAUUUGUCAGCCUCUUUCUUUGGCCUCUCAGCUCCCUCUCAGCUUUCAUGGGUAGGUUUUUAUAAACCUGCUCAUCAUAAAACAAGGUGAAAUGACCAGGUGCAAAUGAAAUGUUAUACCUCUAAUCAUGGAGGCAUAAACGCAUGUCAUCAGGAGAAGGAAAAGCCACUAUCUGGAAUAGGAAACAGUGAAGAAAGAGAGAACGAGCCAGAAAUUUGAUCAGGGAAACCCGAGGGAGACCAACACACUUAAGCUGCCCUCACCUUGACUGUGUUGAGCUAAUCAAAUGAAAUUCAGUGCUGAGAAUUGGAUUUUGAAACACAACAAAAAUGACUCAUCACAGCUAUGAUACUCUUUUUCUGUGUCUCAUGUGCACAUUCAGCCAAGCUGCUCUUUCUGGUCACAUUCUGGAGUCUGUUUCAAAGCCUUGAGUCAGAGAAUCUGGAGAAAUUGGAGUAAAGGUGAAACUCUUCUGCUGUGUAGUGAUUUUCAAACUUGGCUGCACAUUUGCUGUAGAAUGGGAGUUUGUGUCCUCAAAUUUAUAUGUUGAUGCCUAAUCCCCACGAUGAUGCCAUGUGAAGAUAGAACAAGAAAACAAACCAAGAAUCUUGCCUCACCAGCUACCAGAUCUGCCAGCAACUUGAACUUAGACUUCCCAGCCUCCAUAAUGGUGAGAAAUAAAUGUUUUUUUUAAGCCACCCAGUUUGUGAUAUAUUUGUUUUGGCAGCCCAAACUGACUAAGACAUCACUGAUGUCAUCUGGGCAUAUUUAAACACUACUGAAGCUAUUUUCUCUACCCUACCACCACUAUCAGAAAUUCUAAUUUAGUGAUUGUGAGGGCAGACUGGACAUUCGGACUGUUAUAUAACCACAAAUGAUUCUAUGGGGAAGCAACCUAGUAAAUGUCUAAUCUGGAAUGCAUGAAAGUUAAAAAAAAAAAAAAACUCUCUCUCUUUCCCUCUAUUUCUCUCUGCUUUCUUGCUCUUGCUUUUUGAAAUUUCUUUUUGUGAGUCAUGUUAAGAAACUAUUAGGACAUCAGAAUAAACUAAUGGCUAACAUUUACUAAAUACCUACUGCUUUUCAACACUUGAAGUAUGCUUUAUUUUUAUUAUUCAAUUUAAGUCCUCUAACAACUCUUGAGCAAGUAGUGUGAGGCUCAGGGGGAGGAUGCACUACCUGCACAAAAAGGUUAGCUAACUUAGCCAGUUUCCUCAGUGAGAGGCACACCAGUCUUCUCAAUUCUGCUCACACAAAAACUAAAGUUAGAUACAUCAGAACCUGAACUUGACAGAAAAGUCUAAAGGUUCCUAAUGUUAGAUGAACACUAGAAUCUCAUGGUAAACUUCCAGAAAGCACCCCUGCUAUAUUUUAGUGGUGAAUACUUGAUACUAAGCACUUGUCAAAACCCACAUAAAUUUACAGCUCAAAUACUGAGCUUUAGCAUUUGCAAAUUUUAAAAAAUCAAUUCAGGAGGUCAGAGGGUUCCAAGAUGGAAUGCAGACUGUGACUAAGAAAUCUAAAUGUAUCAUGAAGGUAUGCAUAACCUCACUGAAGGAGGCAGAGAAACAAGGUGUUAAGUUUUAUUGGAAUUGAGUGGACUGAGACCGAAGGCAAUAGGAAGUGUGCAUAAGCACUGCACUCUAAUUGGUAAAGUUGCUUCCUACAAAAGCACCGUAACAAUUCUGAAAUCACUAUAUAUGUACAUAGGGUUGAACAAAUAUGUAACUAGAUGGUGAACGGUGCCAGAUUUCUCACUGUUGUAGUGGGAGGUUAUAGAUGCGCAAGGGGAAAAAUGUAGAAUGGUCCACGUAGUAAUGAAUUUGAGUAGGAAACAUUACUAUGAAUUCAGGUUAAUUUUAAUGU
This is a long non-coding RNA of Callithrix jacchus (white-tufted-ear marmoset), 2025 nucleotides long. Lineage: Eukaryota; Metazoa; Chordata; Mammalia; Primates; Cebidae. The record is from Ensembl.